UCCGAUGUAGUGUAGGGGCUAUCACGGUACACUCUCACUGUACAAACCCGAGUUCGAUUCUCGGCUUCGGAA
The sequence is a transfer RNA, 72 nucleotides long. It matches the Rfam family "tRNA". From Rfam's summary of the family: Transfer RNA (tRNA) molecules are approximately 80 nucleotides in length. Their secondary structure includes four short double-helical elements and three loops (D, anti-codon, and T loops). The record is from Rfam.